UACGUAGGGUGCAAGCGUUGUCCGGAAUUAUUGGGCGUAAAGAGCUCGUAGGCGGUUUGUCGCGUCGAAUGUGAAAACCCGGGGCUCAACCCCGGGCCUGCAGUCGAUACGGGCAGGCUAGAAUUCGGUAGGGGAGACUGGAAUUCCUGGUGUAGCGGUGAAAUGCGCAGAUAUCAGGAGGAACACCGGUGGCGAAGGCGGGUCUCUGGGCCGAUAUUGACGCUGAGGAGCGAAAGCGUGGGGAGCGAACAGG
RNAcentral lists this ribosomal RNA (253 nucleotides) under uncultured bacterium. RNAcentral describes it as "partial 16S ribosomal RNA". It matches the Rfam family "Bacterial small subunit ribosomal RNA", at positions 524 to 776 of the family's 1533-position model. The record is from RNAcentral.